GAUGAACGCUAGCGAUAGGCCUAACACAUGCAAGUCGAGGGGCAGCAUAAAGGUAGCAAUACUUUGGUGGCGACCGGCGCACGGGUGAGUAACGCGUAUGCAACCUACCUACUACAAGGGGAUAACCCGGAGAAAUUCGGACUAAUACUCUAUAAUACAGGGGUCCCGCAUGGGAAUAUUUGUUAAAGAUUUAUUGGUAGUAGAUGGGCAUGCGUUCCAUUAGGUAGUUGGUGAGGUAACGGCUCACCAAGCCAUCGAUGGAUAGGGGAACUGAGAGGUUUAUCCCCCACACUGGAACUGAGACACGGUCCAGACUCCUACGGGAGGCAGCAGUGAGGAAUAUUGGUCAAUGGAGGCAACUCUGAACCAGCCAAGUCGCGUGAAGGACGACGGCCCUACGGGUUGUAAACUUCUUUUGUAAGGGAAUAAAGUUUAGUACGUGUACUAUUUUGCAUGUACCUUACGAAUAAGGAUCGGCUAACUCCGUGCCAGCAGCCGCGGUAAUACGGAGGAUCCGAGCGUUAUCCGGAUUUAUUGGGUUUAAAGGGUGCGCAGGCGGGAUGUUAAGUCGGCGGUGAAAUUUUGCGGCUCAACCGUAAAAGUGCCUUCGAAACUGGCGUUCUUGAGUGUAGAUGAAGUAGGCGGAAUUUGUGGUGUAGCGGUGAAAUGCAUAGAUAUCACGAGGAACUCCGAUUGCGCAGGCAGCUUACUAAGCUACAACUGACGCUCAUGCACGAAGGCGUGGGGAUCAAACAGG
This 757-nucleotide ribosomal RNA is filed under the name uncultured Porphyromonadaceae bacterium. Its description in RNAcentral is "bacterial SSU rRNA". It matches the Rfam family "Bacterial small subunit ribosomal RNA", at positions 28 to 776 of the family's 1533-position model. Lineage: Bacteria; Pseudomonadati; Bacteroidota; Bacteroidia; Bacteroidales; Porphyromonadaceae. The record is from RNAcentral.